AGGUUCGAGACCUGGAGGAGCAGAUUGAGACGGAGAUGGGCAAGAAGACCCUCAGCAACUUGGACAAGAUCCGCGAGGACUACCGAGCCCUUCGCCAGGAGAAUGCUGGGCUCCUGGGCCGGGUCCGCGAGGCCUGAGCAGCCCCACCAGAGGUCUGCCCCCGGCCUCAGGCAGGGAUAUGGAGUGCUGGUGGCACUGGCCCUCGCUAUGCCCUCUGAUUACCAUCCAGUUCCUCCUGCUGCAGCCUUGGCCCCAGACCCUCGCCCACCUCACCCCGACCCUUAUCUGGGGCAAUCAUCCAGAGUGUGGGAGCUUGGCUUCAGUUUAUUGUGGAGGGCAUGGGGCGGGGGUUGGGGUCUUGGAUCUCAAAUAAAUGAGGGGCUCUGUCUGCAGUCAAAGCUGAGGCAUGGAACAGGGUGCAGGGCUCAGGGUGGGGGAGGGGUGGGUGGCAGGUGAGACACUGGAUACAUUUGGUGAGUUGGUGUGUGUAGCCCUGGGCAUCUGCCUGGGACUCCNNNNNNNNNNNNNNNNNNNNNNNNNNNNNNNNNNNNNNUGAGAUGUGCUGGUGAGUUCAGAGUCUGUGUGACCAAGCAUGUUUGUCGGGAGCCAUGCGUUACCAUGUGUGACCUGCGUGCAUGCGUCUGGGUGGCUUUCUGGAGCCUGACUUCCUGAAGGUCCUAAGGCUGCUUCUGUGCUGUUGUCAGGGCCUGCCUCAUGUGACACUGCACCUGUGGGCCUGGAAGCCAGCUGUGGGUAUGUGCUUUGGGGG
Molecule: long non-coding RNA, 769 nt
Filed under: Capra hircus (goat)
Lineage: Eukaryota; Metazoa; Chordata; Mammalia; Artiodactyla; Bovidae
Description: lncRNA (ENSCHIG00010027531.1)
Source: RNAcentral